The sequence is a ribosomal RNA, 1032 nucleotides long. It matches the Rfam family "Bacterial small subunit ribosomal RNA", at positions 53 to 1095 of the family's 1533-position model.
ACAUGCAGUCGAACGAUGAAGCCCAGCUUGCUGGGUGGAUUAGUGGCGAACGGGUGAGUAACACGUGAGUAACCUGCCCUUAACUCUGGGAUAAGCCUGGGAAACUGGGUCUAAUACCGGAUAGGAGCGCCUACCGCAUGGUGGGUGUUGGAAAGAUUUAUCGGUUUUGGAUGGACUCGCGGCCUAUCAGCUUGUUGGUGAGGUAAUGGCUCACCAAGGCGACGACGGGUAGCCGGCCUGAGAGGGUGACCGGCCACACUGGGACUGAGACACGGCCCAGACUCCUACGGGAGGCAGCAGUGGGGAAUAUUGCACAAUGGGCGCAAGCCUGAUGCAGCGACGCCGCGUGAGGGAUGACGGCCUUCGGGUUGUAAACCUCUUUCAGUAGGGAAGAAGCGAAAGUGACGGUACCUGCAGAAGAAGCACCGGCUAACUACGUGCCAGCAGCCGCGGUAAUACGUAGGGUGCGAGCGUUAUCCGGAAUUAUUGGGCGUAAAGAGCUCGUAGGCGGUUUGUCGCGUCUGUCGUGAAAGUCCGGGGCUUAACCCCGGAUCUGCGGUGGGUACGGGCAGACUAGAGUGCAGUAGGGGAGACUGGAAUUCCUGGUGUAGCGGUGGAAUGCGCAGAUAUCAGGAGGAACACCGAUGGCGAAGGCAGGUCUCUGGGCUGUAACUGACGCUGAGGAGCGAAAGCAUGGGGAGCGAACAGGAUUAGAUACCCUGGUAGUCCAUGCCGUAAACGUUGGGCACUAGGUGUGGGGACCAUUCCACGGUUUCCGCGCCGCAGCUAACGCAUUAAGUGCCCCGCCUGGGGAGUACGGCCGCAAGGCUAAAACUCAAAGGAAUUGACGGGGGCCCGCACAAGCGGCGGAGCAUGCGGAUUAAUUCGAUGCAACGCGAAGAACCUUACCAAGGCUUGACAUGUUCUCGAUCGCCGUAGAGAUACGGUUUCCCCUUUGGGGCGGGUUCACAGGUGGGUGCAUGGUUGUCGUCAGCUCGUGUCGUGAGAUGUUGGGGUUAAGUCCCGCAACGA